GGCGGAGUUCAAGCAAUCCUACGGCGGCGCUGAUGGCGGAGCACGUUGAAGAGCCGGAGGUUGUGGUGCAGGAUCGGGAGUCCCUUCUGGGCAAGAUCUCGGAGAAGAUCCACGGCCACGAUUCGUCUUCGUCGUCUUCCUCCGAUUCGGAGGAUGAGAAGAAGCCGGAGGUGUCCGCGGCGGCGGAGAUCAAGUCGAAGAUCUUCCGCAUUUUUGGAAGGGAGAAGCCGAUUCAUCAUGUGUUUGGCGGCGGAAAACCUGCUGAUAUAUUCCUAUGGAGGGAUAAGAAAGUCUCUGCUGGUGUGCUUGGUGGUGUAACGGCCAUUUGGGUCCUGUUUGAUCUGCUGGACUACCACCUGCUCACUCUGGUGUGCCACUGCCUCAUCCUUAUGCUGGCCAUCCUGUUUCUCUGGUCCAAUGCUACCACUUUCAUCAACAAGUCUCCACCACACAUUCCUGAAGUGAGCAUCCCGGAAGAUCUAACUGUCCAGAUUGCCCUUUCUCUGCGAUACUAUAUCAAUCGUGGGUUUGCUCUUCUUAGGGAGGUUGCCUCCGGUCGUGAUCUGAAGAAAUUCCUCGCAGUCAUUGCAGGCUUGUGGUUGCUCUCAAUCAUUGGAAGCUGCUGCAAUUUCUUGACCUUGUUCUACAUAGCAUUUGUGUCACUGCACUCUAUUCCCCUACUGUAUGAGAAGUAUGAGGAUCAGGUGGACUCUUUUGCGGAGAAGGCAACAGCUGAGUUCAAGAAGCAUUAUGCAGUGAUCCAUGCCAAGUAUAUAAGCAAAAUUCCGGUGGCAUCUUACAAGGGAAAGAAGCUGCUUUAGAGAAUGAAAAAUACUUAUUAGAUGUCUUACUUCUGUUGAAGUGUUGGUCUUUCAGCAUGGCAGACUCUAGUUAUAUGUGGUAGGGUCAAUUCGAAGUUUUUUUUGGAUGUGGAUCUUGUUUAUGUUGCAUUACAAUCAUUUUCUAGUAUUGUGGAACUUACUGUAUUGCUUUUGUUGGG
This 1000-nucleotide unclassified non-coding RNA is filed under the name Hevea brasiliensis (rubber tree). Lineage: Eukaryota; Viridiplantae; Streptophyta; Magnoliopsida; Malpighiales; Euphorbiaceae. The record is from RNAcentral.